GUAGGAUACUUGAGAGGAGUUGCCCCUAGUACGAGAGGACCGGGGUGAACGAACCACUGGUGGACCUGUUGUGGCGCCAGCCGCAGUGCAGGGUAGCUAUGUUCGGACAGGAUAACCGCUGAAGGCAUCUAAGCGGGAAGCCCCCCUCAAAACAAGGUAUCCCUGAGGGCCGUGGUAGACCACCACGUCGAUAGGCCGGAGAUGUAAGCGC
RNAcentral lists this ribosomal RNA (211 nucleotides) under Ostreococcus mediterraneus. Its description in RNAcentral is "partial Bacterial large subunit ribosomal RNA". It matches the Rfam family "Bacterial large subunit ribosomal RNA", at positions 2653 to 2876 of the family's 2925-position model. Lineage: Eukaryota; Viridiplantae; Chlorophyta; Mamiellophyceae; Mamiellales; Bathycoccaceae. The record is from RNAcentral.